RNAcentral lists this ribosomal RNA (787 nucleotides) under uncultured Actinomycetes bacterium. RNAcentral's name for it is "bacterial SSU rRNA". It matches the Rfam family "Bacterial small subunit ribosomal RNA", at positions 73 to 837 of the family's 1533-position model. The record is from RNAcentral. Lineage: Bacteria; Bacillati; Actinomycetota; Actinomycetes.
GCUCCCUUCGGGGAGCAAGUAGAGUGGCGCACGGGUGAGUAACACGUAGGUAAUCUACCUUUGGAUGGAGAAUAACAACCGGAAAACGGUUGCUAAUACCGCAUAAUGCAGCGGCACCUAAUGGUGACAGUUGUUAAAGCGGGGGAUCGCAAGACCUCGCGUCUGAAGAGGAGCCUGCGGCAGAUUAGCUAGUUGGUAAGGUAACGGCUUACCAAGGCGAUGAUCUGUAGCCGGCCUGAGAGGGCGGUCGGCCACACUGACACUGACAUACGGGUCAGACUCCUACGGGAGGCAGCAGUCGGGAAUUUUGGGCAAUGGGCGAAAGCCUGACCCAGCAACGCCGCGUGAAGGAUGAAAUCCCUCGGGAUGUAAACUUCGCAAGAACGGGAAGAAUAAGUAAGAGUUAAUAUCUCUUACGAUGACGGUACUGUUUGUAAGCUCCGGCUAACUCCGUGCCAGCAGCCGCGGUAAUACGGGGGGAGCAAGCGUUGUUCGGAUUUACUGGGCGUAAAGGGCGCGUAGGCGGCCACUGCAAGUCGACUGUGAAAUCUCCGGGCUUAACCCGGAAAGGUCAGCCGAUACUGCAGGGCUAGAGUGCAGAAGGGGCAACUGGAAUUCUCGGUGUAGCGGUGAAAUGCGUAGAUAUCGAGAGGAACACCUGCGGCGAAGGCGGGUUGCUGGGCUGACACUGACGCUGAGGCGCGAAAGCUAGGGGAGCGAACGGGAUUAGAUACCCCGGUAGUCCUAGCCUUAAACGAUGAAUGCUUGGUGUCUGGGGUUUUAUAGU